UAACCCGAAAAUGUUGGAUAUAUCCAACCUCUGCUA
Molecule: transfer RNA, 36 nt
Filed under: Aspidoscelis gularis
Lineage: Eukaryota; Metazoa; Chordata; Lepidosauria; Squamata; Teiidae
Description: partial tRNA-Met
Source: RNAcentral